This 380-nucleotide ribosomal RNA is filed under the name uncultured eukaryote. RNAcentral describes it as "partial 18S ribosomal RNA". It matches the Rfam family "Eukaryotic small subunit ribosomal RNA", at positions 592 to 976 of the family's 1831-position model. The record is from RNAcentral.
CAAUAGCGUAUAUUAAUGUUGUUGCAGUUAAAAAGCUCGUAGUUGGAUUUCUGGUGGGAGCGGCCGGUCCGCCGUAAGGUGUGUACUUGGUUGUCUCCUGUCAUCCUUGUGGGAACUGCUCUGGCAUUAAGUUGUCGGGGUUAGGGAACACAUCGUUUACUGUGAAAAAAUUAGAGUGUUUAAAGCAGGCUUAUGCCGUUGAAUACAUUAGCAUGGAAUAAUAAGAUAGGACUUUGGCGUCUAUUUUGUUGGUUUGCACACCAAGGUAAUGAUUAAUAGGGAUAGUUGGGGGUAUUCGUAUUUAAUUGUCAGAGGUGAAAUUCUUGGAUUUAUGAAAGACGAACUUCUGCGAAAGCAUUUACCAAAGAUGUUUUCAUUGA